UUCCAUCGCUGCCCUUAAAAGAAACCUAAUCGACAUUCCUCUGAAUCAAACCGAAGAUUGAAUGCUACGCAAAUGAAACGGUGAAACGGUGGGAAGCAAUCAAUCAUGAUUUGAGAUAUAAACUUGCAGAUACAAGAUACAGGGAGUCAGGGACGGAUCAUUUUCUCUUUCCCUUCCAAACCUCUGGAUCCCGUCUUCCGAAUUCCACAUCUGCAACCACAAAAGGGCUCUUUAAAGUCACCGUUUCACCCUUUCACUAACCCUAAAUCCUCUUCGUUUGGUCGUCAUAAGGUGCUGUCCAAGAUCAAAUUAAAGAUAAGGCAAGGUCUUAGGUCAGGCUUCAAAUAGGGAAAUCGAUUAUCAUCAGAUCAGGUUAACAACAAACGCUAUCACAGAUUCAAUCUCUUUAUUCUGCAGUUGCUUGGAUACGAACAGGUGAAGCAGUUCGAUUUCUGCUCAGAUGGAACGAUUUAAUUUUGGAUGUGGCUGAUUAAAGUUGAAUCAUCAUUAUAUAUAAAUGGUUUGCAAAACGUCUCUAUGGUGAUUCUCAUUACUUUGCUUUGCUCAUUAUUUGCAUUGUGUUUAGUACUUUAGUUGCAAAACUUCGUGAAUUGAAUUUGAGACUGAAGUGGAGAUGUGGCGUUUGGAAGGAAGGAAUGGAGGAUCCUUGGAUAGCAGAUGGUGAAUUUAGCAUUCGGGUCUCAAUCGGGAAGAGUUGGACAUUGGAUAAGUGCUUGUAAACGUUCAGACUUGAAAACCGACGGUGAACAAAAUCAUUUAAAUCACAAAUGAUCAAGAACACUGCACAGAUUCAGGUUUCAUGUGUCUGGAAAACCAAGAUAAGCCGCUGUUCUUGAAAGAACUUAGUCAUAUAUGGGAGAAAAAGUACCAGAAUCUUCCGUGGAGUGAUGGAGAAUAUUCGGCUUCCAACACGCCGUUGGUCACCUAUCCUGAGAAGGCCCUUCUAAAUCCUGUAUGACGUCAUAUAUGAAUGUAUAUCUCAAAUGGGUCGCCAAAACAUUUAGGUUAAGAACUGGUGGGUAAAAUGGGUUGAACGGGAUAUAACUUAUGGCUCCUAACUUAUAAGUGUUGAAAAUCAUCAAUGAGUGUUUUUAAAAUCAUUCAGCAUCUAAUGUAUUUAAGGGUAGUUAGGUCAUUUUAAGAAAGCGAGAGUAAGGAUGAAACCCGUAAAAGAUUUUUAAAAAAUGUAUUACUAUUAGGUUGAAAAGUGAUAAUCAUGUUAGGUAAGUCUGAUGCGUACCAAGUAUAUGAUGGAAUGCCUUAAUGACGCCACUGCCUAUGGUGCUGGUUCCGCCUCUUGCUGCUCGAACCAGGAUGUGAUGCUGGGAAGCACCAACAAGCUUUCAACCUCACUGGAGGAUUCGCUCUGUCGAAGUGCUUUGAUGACGAUAGUCCUAUAAUGGCAUGGGUAUUCCACGACCCAAACUAAAUGAUGUUGCAAAGGGACCUGGAGACAAAAGAAGCCUGGUAAACGCAUGUCAAAAUGAUAUGUGCCAUGUUCUAAAAGCCAUGCACAUAACGUUCCCAUUUGCCAACGGCUGUUAUUUUUCUUUUGCAUGAUUAGAUAGUGCCAUAGUCGGUUAGUGGUGAUGGUUUUCUUAGUUGCAAGUUAGCCAUUUUUGUUAAUUUCGUAUUGCUUCUGUAAGGCUAUAUAUGAGCCAUAUGUAUUUAGA
Molecule: RNA transcript, 1694 nt
Organism: Helianthus annuus (common sunflower)
Lineage: Eukaryota; Viridiplantae; Streptophyta; Magnoliopsida; Asterales; Asteraceae
Exons: 5
Source: RefSeq, a predicted model, not a curated record